RNAcentral lists this ribosomal RNA (497 nucleotides) under uncultured bacterium. Its description in RNAcentral is "partial 16S ribosomal RNA". It matches the Rfam family "Bacterial small subunit ribosomal RNA", at positions 28 to 507 of the family's 1533-position model. The record is from RNAcentral.
GAUGAACGCUGGCGGCGUGCCUAAUACAUGCAAGUCGAGCGAACGGACGAGAAGCUUGUUUUCCUGCUGUUAGCGGCGGACGGGUGAGUAACACGUGGAUAACCUUCUUCUAUGACUGGGAUAAUUUCGGGAAACCGGUGCUAAUACUGCAUAAUAUUUUCUACCGCAUGGUUCAAAAGUGCUAGACGGCUUUGCCGUCUCUUAUAGCUGGAUCCGCGUUGCAUUAGCUAGUUGGUAAGGUACCGGCUUACCAAGGCGACGAUGCGUAGCCGGCCUGAGAGGAUGAUCAGCCACACUGGAACUGAGACACGGUCCAGACUCCUACGGGAGGCAGCAGUGGGGAAUCUUCCACAAUGGGCGAAAGCCUGACGGAGCAACACCGCGUGGGUGAUGAAGGUCUUCGGAUCGUAAAGCUCUGUUAUUAGGAAAGAACAUAUGUAUAUGAAACUGUGCACAUCUUGACGGUACCUAAACAGAAAGCCACGGCUAACUUCGUG